This 253-nucleotide ribosomal RNA is filed under the name uncultured bacterium. RNAcentral describes it as "partial 16S ribosomal RNA". It matches the Rfam family "Bacterial small subunit ribosomal RNA", at positions 524 to 776 of the family's 1533-position model. The record is from RNAcentral.
UACGUAGGGGGCAAGCGUUGUCCGGAAUUAUUGGGCGUAAAGAGCGUGUAGGCGGCCCGAUUAGUCCGCUGUGAAAGUCCAGGGCUCAACCCUGGAAUGCCGGUGGAAACUGUCGGGCUAGAGUCCGGAAGGGGCGAGUGGAAUUCCUGGUGUAGCGGUGAAAUGCGCAGAUAUCAGGAGGAACACCAAUGGCGAAGGCAGCUCGCUGGGACGUGACUGACGCUGAGACGCGAAAGCGUGGGGAGCAAACAGG